GACGAACGCUGGCGGCGUGCUUAACACAUGCAAGUCGAACGGAAAGGCCUCUUUCGGGGGGUACUCGAGUGGCGAACGGGUGAGUAACACGUGAGUAACCUGCCCUUGACUUUGGGAUAACUUCAGGAAACUGGGGCUAAUACCGGAUAGUAGUUCCUGCUGCAGGGUGGGGGUUGGAAAGUUUCGGCGGUUGGGGAUGGACUCGCGGCGUAUCAGCUUGUUGGGGGGGGAGUGGCUUACCAAGGCUUUGACGGGUAGCCGGCCUGAGAGGGUGACCGGCCACAUUGGGACUGAGAUACGGCCCAGAUUCCGACGGGAGGCAGCAGGGGGGAAUAUUGAACAAUGGGUGGAAGCCUGAUGCUGCAACGCCGUGUGCGGGAUGACGGCCUUCGGGUUGUAAACCGCUUUCGCUCAUGACGAAGCUUUGUGUGACGGUAGUGGGUAAAGAAGCACCGGCUAACUACGUG
Molecule: ribosomal RNA, 467 nt
Filed under: uncultured bacterium
Lineage: Bacteria
Description: partial 16S ribosomal RNA
Rfam family: Bacterial small subunit ribosomal RNA
Source: RNAcentral